UCCCGGCCUGGCUUGGCACCCUGGGGUUGCGGCGCGCGGGUGGCACUGUGUCCGGUGGGACUGCGGCCGGCCUGCCAGCCUCGUCGGUGACCAGCGCCCGGGAACGUACCGGCUAAUACGGGACUUUUUCGUUUUCUGUUUUUAACUGGAAGCGGUAGUGGUUAAAUUUUGAAAAAUCAAGGGGAAAAGAAAAGGGCUUACGGAAAGUAAAGUAAGAACUAGAGCUAACUCUUCAGCGGCUACUUUGUGCUUAGAAUCUCACACACAUGUCAGAAGGAGCCUUCGGGGUUUUCUAAGCUAAGGAUGAUUUUUCAGUGAGCUGGGAUGGAGAGAGGUGGGGGCUGCACAGAAGGAGCACUGGGGAUAACUCCCACUUAUCCUUCAGGUUUGCAGCAGUAUCACAUUUUCAAGGAAACUGUGCAAUCCCUGUUCCAGACACAGGCUUGGUGCUUUUCCUCUGGGUCCCCUCAGCGUCUGUGCAGACUGUAGAAUUGGAUUGACCACACUAUAGUGGGAUCACCUUCUUUCUGGCUCCUGCAAUCUGCAUGAGAAGAACAUGCCAUAGGCAGCCAGUGGGACUUCUUUUUCCUGGUCCCAGGAUCACAUACAAGAAACCAACCUGAUCAUGGGCCACCCUGCGUGCAACUGAGCCCAGCCAAUUCACUGCUGAUCUGCAGACUAAUGAGAGAAAAUACCAGCACUUAAUCUUGACGCAGGCUCUGUUUUCUGGAGAACCCAAGCUAAGACAUAGACCCAGACAGAUCAUGGCAUGAUGAAGAUGAUAAAAAUGGUGAUUAUGAUGAUGUCCCCCAAUACUUAUUGAUGACCACUUACUAGAGGCAGCUCACUGUAUAGAAAAAUAGAGGACUAAAAAUAGGUGGACUUGAAUGCGCCCUUGAGUUUUCCACCAAUAGCCUUAUGAUUUUGGGAAAGUCAGCCUGGGCUUGGGCUUCAGAUACAUCAUCUAUAAAAUGCAAAGUUUGUUGAAGA
Molecule: non-coding RNA, 990 nt
Organism: Manis javanica (Malayan pangolin)
Lineage: Eukaryota; Metazoa; Chordata; Mammalia; Pholidota; Manidae
Source: RefSeq, a predicted model, not a curated record